Molecule: long non-coding RNA, 1329 nt
Filed under: Cyanistes caeruleus (blue tit)
Lineage: Eukaryota; Metazoa; Chordata; Aves; Passeriformes; Paridae
Description: lncRNA (ENSCCEG00000013559.1)
Source: RNAcentral
GAGCCUGUGCUUCCCCCUAAAUAAAACAUUUGAGAUACAGGAAGUGUUCACAUUCAUCAGUUGGAAAAAUAAAGUGAGAUUAGAAGGUAAAAUUAAAGUCCAAGUUAUCCUCAGUAGAAGAGAAGAUAGGAUAAAUAAGGACAUUCACACUAGCAGCAGGAAUAAUCUGAUGCUACCUCUCAACCACUGGCAUGUGAAAUAAUAAGCCUCAACAAAACAGUUGCUUAGUCACUGUUAAAAACUCAAGGCUAUCAAUUCUUAAAUCACAGCACAGAAAACUAAAUCAAGGCUUUGCAAUCUUCUGUAAUUUGCACCACAUCAUCUUGUUUAUGUAUCUGAAGAAAGCUCAUCUUCUGACACUCACUGAAAUAUGGGGUGGAGGGGUAGAAAGUGAAAGAGAAGUCACAUACUAGUGAAAUUACAGGUGUAAAAAAUGUUUGUUCAUCAGAUACUAAUCUGUUGAGAGCCCAGUGAAUGUCUCCCACAAUAGUAACACCCCAAACCCACUUCUCCCAAGCAGGAGAGUUUAGAAAGCAUACUCACUGCCUUCUCACAGCCAAUGCCAACCAGCAAUCACUAUUCCAGGUGGUUUCAUCAGGGCAAAAAAGAUUCACACCUUGAUAGUCAUUGUUAAAUUAAGUCAUCCAGCCAUUUCACUAUUAACCAGGGGACUAAAUUACAGGUUUAGUCUUCACCAAGAGCUUUUGCCUGCCCACAAGAUAAUCUACUUGGAUUACACUGCCAGCCUGAAAGCAGCUCUAAGGAACAAGGAAGUGGCUAGAGCUGGAUACCCAAGCUUCCACACUUACACAAAAAGAAGUGGAGCAUUAGGUGUGCAGGAGAACAUGCCAAGGUCCCAGGGCAGCACAGCACCACAGCAGUAACAUGUCUUUACAUCUUUCAGAAGGUGAUUGGUGAGAAAAAGAAGGAUGCAAUAUGGAACCCAACUUCUUUCUUACUGUAUUUUCUGUAUAAAGGCCACUAGACAUAACAGGAUAUGUCAAAUUAAUUUAAAUGAAAUGCCUCCCCCAAAAGAAAAUAUUCAACUCUAUACUGUAAAAAUAUGAUUUUUAUUGUAAUGAAAUCAAAACAAAGAUUUAACUGCUGUGUUUUCCAUGUAAUUCUGCCUGUAAAGUCAAGCCACCUUCCCUAACAAGAACACUACAUCACUAAAUGCAAAUGGCAAACAAAUUACAUUGAGAACUAAGAGAUACUUAUUAUUUCACUUGCAGUAGACAUUCCUUAUUUACAGGCAUCUGGCAAAUUGCCUGCAGUAGAAAGAGAUGCCAUGUAGAUAUUCCUAAAGAAAUAAGAAUACAGACCCAUGGG